This 429-nucleotide ribosomal RNA is filed under the name Acidobacteriota bacterium. RNAcentral's name for it is "Acidobacteria bacterium partial 16S ribosomal RNA". It matches the Rfam family "Bacterial small subunit ribosomal RNA", at positions 355 to 776 of the family's 1533-position model. The record is from RNAcentral. Lineage: Bacteria; Pseudomonadati; Acidobacteriota.
UGGGGAAUUUUGGACAAUGGGGGAAACCCUGAUCCAGCCAUCCCGCGUGUGCGAUGAAGGCCUUCGGGUUGUAAAGCACUUUUGGCAGGAAAGAAACGUCAUGGGUUAAUACCCCGUGAAACUGACGGUACCUGCAGAAUAAGCACCGGCUAACUACGUGCCAGCAGCCGCGGUAAUACGUAGGGUGCAAGCGUUAAUCGGAAUUACUGGGCGUAAAGCGUGCGCAGGCGGUUCGGAAAGAAAGAUGUGAAAUCCCAGAGCUCAACUUUGGAACUGCAUUUUUAACUACCGGGCUAGAGUGUGUCAGAGGGAGGUGGAAUUCCGCGUGUAGCAGUGAAAUGCGUAGAUAUGCGGAGGAACACCGAUAGCGAAGGCAGCCUCCUGGGAUAACACUGACGCUCAUGCACGAAAACGUGGGGAGCAAACAGG